GACGAACGCUGGCGGCGUGCUUAACACAUGCAAGUCGAACGGAAAGGCCCUGCUUUUGUGGGGUGCUCGAGUGGCGAACGGGUGAGUAACACGUGAGUAACCUGCCCUUGACUUUGGGAUAACUUCAGGAAACUGGGGCUAAUAUCGGAUAGGAGCUCCUGCUGCAUGGUGGGGGUUGGAAAGUUUCGGCGGUUGGGGAUGGACUCGCGGCUUAUCAGCUUGUUGGUGGGGUAGUGGCUUACCAAGGCUUUGACGGGUAGCCGGCCUGAGAGGGUGACCGGCCACAUUGGGACUGAGAUACGGCCCAGACUCCUACGGGAGGCAGCAGUGGAGAAUAUUGCGCAAUGGGCGGAAGCCUGAUGCAGCAACGCCGCGUGCGGGAUGACGGCCUUCGGGUUGUAAACCGCUUUCGCCUGUGACGAAGCGUGAGUGACGGUAAUGGAUAAAGAAGCACCGGCUAACUACGUG
RNAcentral lists this ribosomal RNA (468 nucleotides) under uncultured bacterium. RNAcentral describes it as "partial 16S ribosomal RNA". It matches the Rfam family "Bacterial small subunit ribosomal RNA", at positions 28 to 507 of the family's 1533-position model. The record is from RNAcentral.